CAACUCUUAACAGUGGAUAUCUUGGUUCCCACAACGAUGAAGAACGCAGCGAAAUGCGAUACGUAAUGCGAAUUGCAGAAUUCAGUGAAUCAUCAAAUCUUUGAACGCAAGUUGCGCUUUCGAGAUAUCCUUGAAAGCAUGCCUCUUUGAGUGUCGGUU
RNAcentral lists this ribosomal RNA (159 nucleotides) under Spongospora subterranea f. sp. subterranea. Its description in RNAcentral is "5.8S ribosomal RNA". It matches the Rfam family "5.8S ribosomal RNA". Rfam says of the family: 5.8S ribosomal RNA (5.8S rRNA) is a component of the large subunit of the eukaryotic ribosome. Lineage: Eukaryota; Endomyxa; Phytomyxea; Plasmodiophorida; Plasmodiophoridae. The record is from RNAcentral.